This 253-nucleotide ribosomal RNA is filed under the name uncultured bacterium. Its description in RNAcentral is "partial 16S ribosomal RNA". It matches the Rfam family "Bacterial small subunit ribosomal RNA", at positions 524 to 776 of the family's 1533-position model. The record is from RNAcentral.
UACGGGGGGUGCAAGCGUUGUUCGGAAUUAUUGGGCGUAAAGAGCGUGUAGGCGGCUGAAUAAGUCAGAUGUGAAAUCCCUGAGCUUAACUCAGGAAGUGCAUUUGAAACUAUUCGGCUUGAGUAGGGGAGAGGAAAGUGGAAUUCCUGGUGUAGAGGUGAAAUUCGUAGAUAUCAGGAGGAACACCGGUGGCGAAGGCGACUUUCUGGCCCUAUACUGACGCUGAGACGCGAGAGCGUGGGUAGCAAACAGG